AGCCCCAUCCCAGGCUCCCAGGGAGAGGAUAAGAGGGGCCUGGCAGAGCCCGGACCCAGCUGGUUCUCUCUGGGGAGCAGAGCUCUCGGGGUCCCCUGCACCAUGGCCUGGCCUCUCGUCUGCCUCCUCCUGCUCACCUGCUGCUCAGGUUCCUUCUCCCAGCCUGUGCUGACUCAGUCUCCCUCCAUGUCUGUGUCCCUGGGAGCCACGGCCAGACUCUCCUGCACCCUCAGCAGUCAGCACAAAGGGUACACUAUUCGUUGGUACCAGCAGAUCCCGGGAAAGGCUCCCCGUUUUGUCAUGAGGGUAAAAAGUGAUGGAAGCGUGAGCAAGGGCGAGGGGGUCCCCGACCGCUUCUCGGGCUCCGGCUCUGGGGCCGAUCGCUACUUGUCCAUCAGCAACAUCCAGCCUGAGGACGAGGCCGAUUACUACUGUGGGGCAGCUGAUAGUAAUGGUUUACACAGUGAUACAUUCAGUGAGGAAGUGGAACAAAAACCCCCCUGCCAGCCCAGCCCCCGCCCCACAGCUGGUCCCGACUUCUGGCGCAGCCCCAGCUGCUAAAGGGCCCUGAGGUUGUGCUUCCUGUUUCUCUGUCUCAGGCUCAAAGCCCCGUGUCCAUGACUUGUCCAACACCACACAGAGUAAGUCCCAGAAAUGGAACAUUUAUCUCCCCUAACCAGCACUUUGCCCCUUUUCAAGCUACUUCCCCGGACAAGGACUCCAGGGCAAGGGGUUUUCUGAGCCUUCAGGUUGUGGCAGUGGAGGGGGAUGAUGGGCUCUGCCUCCCUGAGGUUGCCAUGGCUGGGCCCUUGUAGAGUGAAGGCUCUUUGGAGUUCCCAUUGGCUCCUACCAAGGGACACGCCCACAUAAUUCUACAAAGAGAUUUAAUAAAGAAGCUCCAAGAAGAGGCAAAACCUUAUAAAGGGAGCCCAGAGAGGUGGGGAGAGUUCUAGAAAUCGUCAGCAGAUCAGGGGAGCCCCAGCUAUAGAAUCAACAUCUGGGGGAGCCCCAGUUCUAGAAUCAGCGGCUGGGGGAGCCCGGGGUAGCCAGGCAAGUUCCCUUUGGGAAGGGUCCCAGACAGGGCGUCCUCUCCAUGACUCUGAAUCUGACUGGGAGCCAGACUGUAAUGGGCCAGAAUUCUGGAGAAAUGUACUUGAAACCAGGAUUCUUACAGCAAGGUGCUAAGUCAGCGGCACUGAGGAGACAGUGGGUAUCUAGUUCAGCGUGAGACUCUGUGGUUCAGUAUGACUGACUUAAUUUUGCAACAACUAAUGGCUCCCUAGCGAUAGAAUGAUUGGUUUGUACUCAUUGUGCUGUAAUGAUGGAAUGGUAAUAGAGCAUAAACUGGGGACAAAGUCAGCCACAGGAGAUUCCGUCUUGGACCAGCCUCUGGUGGCUCUGCUAGCUCCUGCACUGAAAGCCAGCCCAGCCCCGGAGAAGGAGACCGACUGUGAGGGAGACAAUAAAGACU
This is a non-coding RNA of Antechinus flavipes (yellow-footed antechinus), 1471 nucleotides long. The record is from the annotation of a RefSeq genome assembly. NCBI's taxonomy places the organism in Eukaryota, Metazoa, Chordata, Mammalia, Dasyuromorphia, Dasyuridae.